AUGCAGAGAUAAAAACACAGCUCCGGUUGGUAGUCCGGACGCACCUUACGGUGUCAGUAACCUGCCUCCUUGGUUGUCCGUUCUCUGUAAU
Molecule: non-coding RNA, 91 nt
Filed under: human gut metagenome
Also listed under: 2 other names
Description: yjdF RNA
Rfam family: azaaromatic riboswitch aptamer (yjdF RNA)
Source: RNAcentral